This 245-nucleotide ribosomal RNA is filed under the name uncultured bacterium. RNAcentral's name for it is "partial 16S ribosomal RNA". It matches the Rfam family "Bacterial small subunit ribosomal RNA", at positions 524 to 767 of the family's 1533-position model. The record is from RNAcentral.
GACAGAGGUCUCAAGCGUUGUUCGGAUUUACUGGGCGUAAAGGGCGCGCAGGCGGCCGGGCACAGUCCGGCGUGAAAGCCCGCAGCUUAACUGCGGAAGGGCGUCGGAUACUACCUGGCUCGAGGGUUGGAAGGGGGAUUGGAAUUCUCGGUGUAGCGGUGAAAUGCAUAGAGAUCGAGAAGAACACCGGUAGCGAAGGCGAGUCCCUGGACAAUCCCUGACGCUGAGGCGCGAAAGCCGGGGGA